CUUACUACUUGGAUAACCGUGGUAAUUCUAGAGCUAAUACAUGCUAAAAACCCCGACUCACGAAGGGGUGUAUUUAUUAGAUUAAAAACCAAUGCCCUUCGGGGCUCUCUGGUGAUUCAUAAUAACUUCUCGAAUCGCAUGGCCUUGUGCCGGCGAUGGUUCAUUCAAAUUUCUGCCCUAUCAACUUUCGAUGGCAGGGUCUUGGCCUGCCAUGGUUACAACGGGUAACGGAGGGUUAGGGCUCGACCCCGGAGAAGGAGCCUKAGAAACGGCUACUACAUCCAAGGAAGGCAGCAGGCGCGCAAAUUACCCAAUCCCGAUUCGGGGAGGUAGUGACAAUAAAUACUGAUACAGGGCUCUUUUGGGUCUUGUAAUUGGRAUGAGUACAAUUUAAAUCCCUUAACGGGGAACAAUUGGAGGGCAAGUCUKGUGCCAGCAGCCGCGGUAAUUCCAGCUCCAAUAGCGUAUAUUAAAGUUGUUGCAGUUAAAAAGCUCGUAGUUGSAACCUUGGGSCUGGCUGGCCGGUCCGCCUCACCG
Molecule: ribosomal RNA, 537 nt
Filed under: Microdochium nivale
Lineage: Eukaryota; Fungi; Ascomycota; Sordariomycetes; Xylariales; Microdochiaceae
Description: SSU rRNA
Rfam family: Eukaryotic small subunit ribosomal RNA
Source: RNAcentral